RNAcentral lists this unclassified non-coding RNA (1460 nucleotides) under uncultured fungus. Its description in RNAcentral is "sequence contains 18S rRNA gene, ITS1, 5.8S rRNA gene, ITS2, 28S rRNA gene". The stretch from base 541 to 1460 matches the Rfam family "Eukaryotic large subunit ribosomal RNA", at positions 1 to 961 of the family's 3401-position model. The record is from RNAcentral. Lineage: Eukaryota; Fungi.
GGAAGGAUCAUCAGUGAUUCGGGGGGGCGGAGCCCGUAGGGCGACGACCCCCCAACCAAUCUUGUGUGAACUGUAACGCAAACAUGCGUGUAGGGAGAGGUUGGCAGGAGAAUGUAUGUUCCAACGGAACACCCGCCAACCACCCACCUCACGCACGCUUAUCACCUCCAACAAUCUUGUCUAACACUAAACACACCAAUAACACAACUUUUAACAAUGGAUCUCUUGGCUCUCGCAUCGAUGAAAAACGCAGCAAAUUGCGAAAAUUAAUGUGCAUUGCAGUACGUGAAUCAUCGAGUCUUUGAACGCAGCUUGCACUCUAGGUUCUCCUAGAGUAUGCCUAUUUGAGUAUCGUACCCACCCCACUCGAGCCGCAAGGCUUGGAUCUGAUCUGUGUGCCCUGGCACCAGCUUGAAUUGGAGUGAAUCGGGUCUGUGCGCACGCCGCUGCUGCCUGGUUCUGACGUGAUAAUCAACCAUCUCGUCAGCCUGUGCACAGCGUCAGUCAUAAAUCCCUCACAAACAACCCACCUUCUGAUAUCGAUCUCAAAUUAGGUAGGACUACCCGCUGAACUUAAGCAUAUCAUUAAGCGGAGGAAAAGAAACUAACAAGGAUUCCCCUAGUAACGGCGAGUGAAGCGGGAACAGCUCAAAUUUGAAAUCUGGCGCGGCAUGGCCGCGUCCGAAUUGUAGUUUAUGGUCCGCGCAUCGGUGACACCAGCCGGUAUAAUUUGCCUGGAACGGCAAGUCAUAGAGGGUGAUAGUCCCGUCCAUGACCGGCUGCGUGCGCGCCACACGUUGCGCGAACUUAGAGUCGAGUUGUUUGGGAAUGCAGCUCAAAAUGGGAGGUAGAUUUCUUCUAAAGCUAAAUAACGGCGAGAGACCGAUAGCGAACAAGUACCGUGAGGGAAAGAUGAAAAGAACUCUGAAGAGAGAGUGAAACAGUACGUGAAAUUGUUAAAAGGGAAACGCUUGAGACCGCUGUGGCGCGCAAGCGCCUGCCAACAUCGGUUGCGCGCGACGAAAAAAGCCGCGGGAAAUGUAGGACGCGCUUCGGCGCGUCUGUUAUAGUCCCGCGGCCAUGCGUCGCGCCGGACCGAGGUCUGCAGCCGCAAGGCUAAGGAUGUUGGCUGAAUGGUCUUAAUCGACCCGUCUUGAAACACGGACCAAGGAGUCUAACAUGCCUGCGAGUAUUUGGGUGGCAAACCCACGUGCGCAAUGAAAGUGAAUCAAAGGUGGGAGGCGCGCAAGCGUCGCACCAUCGACCAAAGCCGGGCUCACGCGCGGCUUUGCGUAAGAGCAUGCAUGCUAGGACCCGAAAGAUGGUGAACUAUGCCUGAAUAGGGUGAAGCCAGAGGAAACUCUGGUGGAGGCUCGUAGCGAUUCUGACGUGCAAAUCGAUCGUCAAAUUUGGGUAUAGGGGCGAAAGACUAAUCGAACCAUCUAGUAGCUGGUUCCUGC